RNAcentral lists this ribosomal RNA (1283 nucleotides) under marine sediment metagenome. RNAcentral describes it as "bacterial LSU rRNA". It matches the Rfam family "Bacterial large subunit ribosomal RNA", at positions 840 to 2106 of the family's 2925-position model. The record is from RNAcentral.
CGCAGAUAGCUGGUUCUCCCCGAAAUAGCUUUCGGGCUAGCCUUUGGUAAUAGUGCACGGGGGUAGAGAUACUGAUUAGGAUAGGGGCCCUUAUUGGGUACCCUACUUAGCCAAACUCCGAAUACCGUGUACCGUAUCCAGGGAGUCAGACUAUGGGCGAUAAGGUCCGUGGUCGAGAGGGAAACAACCCAGACCGCCAGCUAAGGUCCCGAAUGUGUGCUAAGUGUAGAAAAGGAAGUGACGUCUCUAGGACAGCCAGGAUGUUGGCUUAGAAGCAGCCAUCAUUUAAAGAGUGCGUAAUAGCUCACUGGUCGAGAGGCUUUGGGCCGAAAAUGAACGGGGCUCAAGUGCACAACCGAAGCUGCGGCUUGUGUCAGAUCGUUGAUCUGAUGCAGGGGUAGGGGAGCGUUCUAACUGGGUGAAGGGAUACGGUAACGAGUCCUGGACGGUUUAGAAGUGAUUAUGCCGGAAUGAGUAGCGAUAAAGCAGGUGAGAAUCCUGCUCGCCGAAAACCUAAGGUUUCCUGGGCACGGUAAAUCCGCCCAGGGUUAGUCGGUCCCUAAGGCGAGGCCGAAAGGCGUAGUCGAUGGGUAACGGGUUAAUAUUCCCGUACUACUGACAGACGUUUGACCAAUGGGGUGACGCGGAAGUGAUAGCAAUCAGGGUGACUGAUGUCCCUGUGUAAGGCCGAGGGUGGUGUGUAGGUAAAUCCGCACACGGAAAGCCGGAGCUGAUGCCGAGCGCGUAUGCGCGAAGUUGCCUGAUCAACCGCCGAGAAAAACCUCUAGGGAGUUUGUUAGUAUCCGUACCAAAACUGACACAGGUAGGUGGGGUGAGAAUCCUAAGGCGCUCGAGAUAACUGCUGUUAAGGAACUCGGCAAAAUGACCCCGUAACUUCGGGAGAAGGGGUGCCGUUGAGUGUGUAGGUCCUCGCGAUCGAAGCAUUCGGCGGCCGCAGAGAAUUGGCCCAAACAACUGUUUACUAAAAACACAGGUCUGUGCUAACUCUUAACGAGGAAGUAUACAGACUGACGCCUGCCCAAUGCCGGAAGGUUAAGGGGAGUGGUUAGCGCAAGCGAAGCUGCGAACUGAAGCCCCGGUGAAUGGCGGCCGUAACUAUGACGGUCCUAAGGUAGCGAAGUUCCUUGUCGGGUAAGUUCCGACCCGCACGAAAGGCGUAACGAUUUGGGCACUGUCUCAACAGCAGACUCGGCGAAAUUGUAGUCGUGGUGAAGAUGCCACGUUCCCGCACUAAGACGGAAAGACCCCGUGAACCUUUACUG